GAUGAACGCUAGCGGCAGGCUUAACACAUGCAAGUCGAGGGGUAUAGGAAGCUUGCUUCCUAGAGACCGGCGCACGGGUGCGUAACGCGUAUGCAACCUACCUUUUACAGAGGGAUAGCCCCAGAGAAAUUUGGAUUAAUACCUCAUAGUAUAUGUUUUUCGCAUGUUAGACAUAUUAAAGUAACAACGGUAAAGAUGGGCAUGCGUCCUAUUAGCUAGAUGGUAAGGUAACGGCUUACCAUGGCAACGAUAGGUAGGGGUCCUGAGAGGGAGAUCCCCCACACUGGUACUGAGACACGGACCAGACUCCUACGGGAGGCAGCAGUGAGGAAUAUUGGACAAUGGGCGCAAGCCUGAUCCAGCCAUGCCGCGUGCAGGAAGAAGCAUCUAUGGUGUGUAAACUGCUUUUGUACGGGAAGAAACACCCCCUCGUGAGGGAGCUUGACGGUACCG
RNAcentral lists this ribosomal RNA (453 nucleotides) under uncultured bacterium. RNAcentral's name for it is "bacterial SSU rRNA". It matches the Rfam family "Bacterial small subunit ribosomal RNA", at positions 28 to 480 of the family's 1533-position model. The record is from RNAcentral.